AGGGCUGGGCUAGAGUGCCACCUCCGGUCUCCAUGGCAACCUCCCAGGGCUUUCCAGGAGACUCUAGGAUGCCUUUUGGGCAAGCUGGGCUGGAGCCCACCCUUACUGAGCACCUGGGAGCUGUCAGACAAAAAGGGAGACCCUGGCAUCCAAGGCAUCAAAGGAGAGAAGGUGAGGGAGCCCUGCUCUCCUGGCUGCCCUCCUCUGCCUACCUGGAAGCAUUUCUGAUCCUUCCUCUUCUUUCCCCAGGGGGAGCCCUGCUUGUCCUGCAGCUCGGUUGUAGGGGCCCAGCAUCUUGUGUCCUCCACAGGGGCCAGUGGAGAUGUGGGUUCCCCUGGCUUUGGUCUGCCUGGCCUUCCGGGUAGAGCUGGGGUUCCAGGGCUGAAAGGAGAGAAGGGUAACUUCGGGGAGGCAGGGCCAGCUGGCAGUCCAGGGACACCAGGACCAGUGGGGCCAGCAGGCAUCAAAGGGGCGAAGGGGGAGCCCUGUGAGCCGUGCCCAGCCCUGUCCAACCUUCAGGAUGGGGAUGUCCGUGUGGUGGCCUUGCCUGGCCCAUCCGGAGAGAAGGGGGAACCUGGGCCUCCAGGCUUUGGCUUGCCAGGAAAACAGGGCAAGGCUGGAGAGCGUGGACUGAAGGGGCAGAAGGGUGAUGCUGGGAAUCCUGGAGACCCUGGAACGCCGGGCACCACAGGGCGGCCAGGACUGUCAGGAGAGCCUGGAGUUCGGGGCCCCGCGGGGCCAAAAGGAGAAAAGGGUGAUGGCUGCACUGCCUGCCCCAGCCUGCAGGGGACAGUGACCGACAUGGCAGGACGGCCUGGGCAGCCCGGCCCCAAAGGAGAGCAGGGCCCCGAAGGCGUGGGCCGACCUGGUAAACC
Molecule: small RNA, 875 nt
Filed under: Pan troglodytes (chimpanzee)
Lineage: Eukaryota; Metazoa; Chordata; Mammalia; Primates; Hominidae
Description: processed transcript
Source: RNAcentral